GAUUCGCACAAUUGGUCAUCACGCUUGGUUAAAAAGCCAGUGGCGCGAAGCUACCAUGCACUGGAUUAUGACUGAACACCUCUAAGUCAGGAUCCGGGCUAGAAGCGAUGCAUGCACCAGUCGUCCGCUUGCCGACCCGCAGUAGAGGCCGUCCGGCCUCCAAAGGCAAGUGUCGUUGGUGAAGCCCGCGUGGCGGAUGAGCCGUGGGGGCCGCCUUGAAGUACAAUUCCUAUCUCAAGCGGUGGGUAGAAUCCCUUGCAGACGACUUAAAUACGUGACGGGAUAUUGUUAGUGGCAAAGCGGCCUUGCUGCCACGAUCCACUAAGAUUCAGCCCUGCGU
This 340-nucleotide ribosomal RNA is filed under the name Camellia sinensis. RNAcentral's name for it is "partial large subunit ribosomal RNA". It matches the Rfam family "Eukaryotic large subunit ribosomal RNA", at positions 3049 to 3388 of the family's 3401-position model. The record is from RNAcentral. Lineage: Eukaryota; Viridiplantae; Streptophyta; Magnoliopsida; Ericales; Theaceae.